GACGAACGCUGGCGGCGUGCUUAACACAUGCAAGUCGAACGGAAAGGCCCUGCUUUUGUGGGGUGCUCGAGUGGCGAACGGGUGAGUAACACGUGAGUAACCUGCCCUUGACUUUGGGAUAACUUCAGGAAACUGGGGCUAAUACCGGAUAGGAGCUCCUGCUGCAUGGUAGGGGUUGGAAAGUUUCGGCGGUUGGGGAUGGACUCGCGGCUUAUCAGCUUGUUGGUGGGGUAGUGGCUUACCAAGGCUUUGACGGGUAGCCGGCCUGAGAGGGUGACCGGCCACAUUGGGACUGAGAUACGGCCCAGACUGCUACGGGAGGCAGCAGUGGGGAAUAUUGCACAAUGGGCGGAAGCCUGAUGAAGCAACGCCGCGUGCGGGAUGACGGCCUUCGGGUUGUAAACCGCUUUCGCCUGUGACGAAGCGUGAGUGACGGUAAUGGGUAAAGAAGCACCGGCUAACUACGUG
Molecule: ribosomal RNA, 468 nt
Filed under: uncultured bacterium
Lineage: Bacteria
Description: partial 16S ribosomal RNA
Rfam family: Bacterial small subunit ribosomal RNA
Source: RNAcentral